This 150-nucleotide unclassified non-coding RNA is filed under the name uncultured Glomerellales. RNAcentral describes it as "sequence contains ITS1". The record is from RNAcentral. Lineage: Eukaryota; Fungi; Ascomycota; Sordariomycetes; Glomerellales.
CCGAGUUUCAUAACUCUAACCCACUGUAAUCUGUACCUGUUGUUGCUUUGGCAGGCGGUCCCAGGGCGGGACUCUUGCUAUUAUUAUAGCGUCUGCCAGAGGACAAACAAAACUCUUCUACGUGUUACUCUGAGUACAAGACCAAUAUCA